Molecule: transfer RNA, 71 nt
Filed under: Loxodonta africana (African savanna elephant)
Lineage: Eukaryota; Metazoa; Chordata; Mammalia; Proboscidea; Elephantidae
Rfam family: tRNA
About the family: Transfer RNA (tRNA) molecules are approximately 80 nucleotides in length. Their secondary structure includes four short double-helical elements and three loops (D, anti-codon, and T loops).
Source: Rfam by way of RNAcentral
GCAGUGGCAGUUCAGUGGUAGAAUUCUUGCCUUCCAUGUGGGAGACCUGGGUUUGAUUUCCAGCCAAUACA